Molecule: transfer RNA, 70 nt
Filed under: Neotoma lepida (desert woodrat)
Lineage: Eukaryota; Metazoa; Chordata; Mammalia; Rodentia; Cricetidae
Rfam family: tRNA
About the family: Transfer RNA (tRNA) molecules are approximately 80 nucleotides in length.
Source: Rfam by way of RNAcentral
GGCUGUAGCUCAGUUGUAGAACAUUUGUCUUACAUUCAUGAAGUCCUAGGUUCAAUUCCCAGUACUGCCA